GACUUCAAAAGCUACAACACAGCAGUUAAUCUUGUAAAUUAAACGAUAAGAGUUUAAACCCCUUUUGAAGUUU
This 73-nucleotide transfer RNA is filed under the name Zoroaster ophiactis. Its description in RNAcentral is "tRNA-Thr". The record is from RNAcentral. Lineage: Eukaryota; Metazoa; Echinodermata; Asteroidea; Forcipulatida; Zoroasteridae.